This 306-nucleotide ribosomal RNA is filed under the name uncultured bacterium. Its description in RNAcentral is "partial 16S ribosomal RNA". It matches the Rfam family "Bacterial small subunit ribosomal RNA", at positions 507 to 807 of the family's 1533-position model. The record is from RNAcentral.
GACAGCAGUCGCCACGGUAAUACGGAGGGGGCUAGCGUUGUUUGGAAUUACUGGGCGUAAAGCGCACGUAGGCGGCUUGGUAAGUUAGAGGUGAAAGCCCGGAGCUCAACUCCGGAAUUGCCUUUAAGACUGCCGAGCUAGCAGGUGAGAGAGGUAAGUGGAAUUCCGAGUGUAGAGGUGAAAUUCGUAGAUAUUCGGAAGAACACCAGUGGCGAAGGCGGCUUACUGGCUCAUACUGGACGCUGAGGUGCGAAAGCGUGGGGAGCAAACAGGAUUAGAGACCCGUGUAGUCCCUGUCUCUUAUAC